UACGUAGGGGGCAAGCGUUAUCCGGAUUCACUGGGUGUAAAGGGAGCGUAGACGGCCAUCCAAGCCUGGAGUGAAAGCCCGGGGCCCAACCCCGGGACUGCUCUGGGAACUGUGCGGCUGGAGUGCGGGAGGGGCAGGCGGAAUUCCUGGUGUAGCGGUGAAAUGCGUAGAUAUCAGGAGGAACACCGGCGGCGAAGGCGGCCUGCUGGACCGCGACUGACGUUGAGGCUCGAAAGCGUGGGGAGCAAACAGG
This 253-nucleotide ribosomal RNA is filed under the name uncultured bacterium. Its description in RNAcentral is "partial 16S ribosomal RNA". It matches the Rfam family "Bacterial small subunit ribosomal RNA", at positions 524 to 776 of the family's 1533-position model. The record is from RNAcentral.